This 131-nucleotide small nucleolar RNA is filed under the name Dasypus novemcinctus (nine-banded armadillo). RNAcentral's name for it is "Small nucleolar RNA SNORA51 (ENSDNOG00000044950.1)". It matches the Rfam family "Small nucleolar RNA SNORA51". Rfam says of the family: ACA51 is a member of the H/ACA class of snoRNA that guide the sites of modification of uridines to pseudouridines. Lineage: Eukaryota; Metazoa; Chordata; Mammalia; Cingulata; Dasypodidae. The record is from RNAcentral.
GGCUUCCUGGUGUUUACCACAGGCUGUGCUCUUGCACUGACUGUAUAGAAAAAGGAGGCAGAGUGAGCUGACCCCAUAUUCACCUCAGCCAGGCCUUGUGCCUGGUCCGAAUUGUGAAUGGGGGAACAUGG